CAGUCGCCGCGGGAAUACAGAGGGUGCGAGCGUUAAUCGGAUUUACUGGGCGUAAAGCGUGCGUAGGCGGCUUCUUAAGUCGGAUGUGAAAUCCCUGAGCUUAACUUAGGAAUUGCAUUCGAUACUGGGAAGCUAGAGUAUGGGAGAGGAUGGUAGAAUUCCAGGUGUAGCGGUGAAAUGCGUAGAGAUCUGGAGGAAUACCGAUGGCGAAGGCAGCCAUCUGGCCUAAUACUGACGCUGAGGUACGAAAGCGUGGGGAGCAAACAGGAUUAGAUACCCGCGUAGUCCCUGUCUCUUAUAC
RNAcentral lists this ribosomal RNA (301 nucleotides) under uncultured bacterium. RNAcentral describes it as "partial 16S ribosomal RNA". It matches the Rfam family "Bacterial small subunit ribosomal RNA", at positions 509 to 807 of the family's 1533-position model. The record is from RNAcentral.